UUAAGUGAAUGCCCGAAAUGCAAAUCAUCAACAUGGAAAGAUGGCGAUGCUGUGAAGAGGGUUCCUCAUAAUGUUCUGAGACAUUUUCCAAUUACACCAAGAUUGCAGAGGUUGUUUCAUGAUGCUGAAACAAGAGAGGAUGUACUGUGGCAUUGUAGGAACCAGGAGUGCAGAGAUCAGAAUGUAAUGAGCCAUCCAUCUCAUGGUAGUGAGUGGCAAAGCUUCAAUCAGAAACACAAAAAGUUUGUUGCUCACCCGAGAAACAUUAGACUUGGCUUAGCUUCAGAUGGAUUUAACCAAUUUGGCCACCAGAGCACCACAUAU
This 324-nucleotide ribosomal RNA is filed under the name Triticum aestivum (bread wheat). Its description in RNAcentral is "partial small subunit ribosomal RNA". The record is from RNAcentral. Lineage: Eukaryota; Viridiplantae; Streptophyta; Magnoliopsida; Poales; Poaceae.